UCCUGCCCCUGCCGCCUGCAGCACACACAGAAUAAAACAAGCAACAACCCAUCAAGUUAUCUGCUAUGUCGGUUAGGAUAACCAUCUCCGAUGGCUUCACGAAGAGCCUUUAAUAACGGCACUACUUACAGAAAGGAUUAAAAGAGCAAACAAGAAGGUGAGGCCCCCAGAGACUUCCCACAACUUAUUGAUGUCUCUUGGGCUAAAGAAACAAGAAGAGGAAGUAGAGCUGGCAGAGCAGGGGCCCUGUGUGUGUUCUAAAACCACAAAGGGACACAGCUGCUGUAAGAGAUUCUGCACUGAGCAAGAGGAAAUGGGGAAAAGUUCCUCCUUCACACAGUCUCUCUCUUGCCACCAUGUAAGACAUGCCUGCUUUCCCUUCUGCCAUGACUGAGGCUUCCAUGUGGAACUAGAGACUGGCAGACAGACAAUGCCUCCUAUUGAACCAGCAAGAGAGAAAAUCAUGUGACUCAUCUGAUUCCAUCACUAGGCUUCUGUGGGGGAAUCCUGAAAAAGGAUACAGCUUAUGGACUCUUUCUUCCAACGAAGCUCAUCGUGCUAGAAGCUUUAAUAGCCUAGGACUUGCUUCCAGGAUUUUAAGAAUGAGUUCAUCUUAGCAUCAUCCACAUACAUAAGGAAAAUUCACCAAAAUGUCAACUAUGUCAUUAACAAAACACUAAAUUGCAGUGAACCUUUCAUUGACCAGAAGAACACGAAAUAACUCAUGUGCAAAACAAGAUGUAAUUGUUCAUGGUUCUUCAAGGCGAGUAUACAUGAAGAGAAAUUCAAGUAAUGAGUUGAUUUCAAAUCUACAUUUAUU
Long non-coding RNA from Callithrix jacchus (white-tufted-ear marmoset), 820 nucleotides. RefSeq lists it as uncharacterized. The record is from RefSeq and is a predicted model, not a curated record. NCBI's taxonomy places the organism in Eukaryota, Metazoa, Chordata, Mammalia, Primates, Cebidae.